GUAGGUGGCAAGCGUUAUCCGGGAAUUAUUGGGGCGUAAAGCGCGCGCAGGUGGUUUCUUAAGGUCUGAUGUGAAAGCCCACGGGCUCAACCGUGGAGGGUCAUUGGAAACUGGGAGACUUGAGUGCAGAAGAGGAAAGUGGAAUUCCAUGUGUAGCGGUGAAAUGCGUAGAGAUAUGGAGGAACACCAGUGGCGAAGGCGACUUUCUGGUCUGUAACUGACACUGAGGCGCGAAAGCGUGGGGAGCAAACAGGAUUAGAUACCCUGGUAGUCCACGCCGUAAACGAUGAGUGCUAAGUGUUAGAGGGUUUCCGCCCUUUAGUGCUGAAGUUAACGCAUUAAGCACUCCGCCUGGGGAGUACGGCCGCAAGGCUG
This 375-nucleotide ribosomal RNA is filed under the name uncultured organism. Its description in RNAcentral is "partial 16S ribosomal RNA". It matches the Rfam family "Bacterial small subunit ribosomal RNA", at positions 527 to 896 of the family's 1533-position model. The record is from RNAcentral.